Long non-coding RNA from Neofelis nebulosa (Clouded leopard), 1181 nucleotides. RefSeq lists it as uncharacterized. The transcript is spliced from 2 exons. NCBI's taxonomy places the organism in Eukaryota, Metazoa, Chordata, Mammalia, Carnivora, Felidae. The record is from RefSeq and is a predicted model, not a curated record.
AAUAUGCUCCAUAAAAGAUCUGCUCUGUGUUUCUUCAAUGUAAAGAGCACUCUAUGCCUGCAUUUUAGUUGGCUGUAUUCCUCAUGAAUGAUAAUUCAUGUCCUCCAGGUGCUGGGUCAGAGACGAGGAAUAUCCCUCUAUGAAUAUAAUCUACUUGAGAAUGAACCUCUGGUUGCCGAGAAACACGACCCUGAAACUUACUGAGAUCUACCAUUAUGGGAGAUUGUAUGUUCCAAAGAGGACUGCACAAGUAUGUAUGUCUCAUCCCAAACGUUUCUCUUCGAGUGUUUCUGAUGCUCCUCCCACUGACAAGUUUGAGACCUGUACGUUCCAUACCCUUGAAACUGGGCAGGGUUUUGCGACAACUCCAAUUCAUUUGGUGAAAGUGAUGCUAUGUGAUUUCUGAGGUGAGGUCAUAAUAGAAUAUAGCAUCCAUCUGGCUUGCUCCCUCUUGCCACACACCUUGGGAACCCUGAUCCUAUAUAUAAGAAGUCAAACCAGAUAUCUUGAAGCCACCAUACCGAGAAGAGUAGUGGAGAAGCCUGUUAGAAAGAGUGAGAGAGACCUUAGGAGCCCCAGGCUGUGCCAGCCCUCAUCUGCCUGAGUCUUCUAGCAUCCACUGCUAUUCACAGUGAGCCAGGACAACCUACAGGUCCCUGGCAGAGUCAAAUGUAACACCUCAUGGGGUGUGCAUAACCAUCACGGAAAACAAGUCCCAUUGAAGAGGAACUCACAGCGAAACAUUAUAAAGCACACAAGGAAACAGGCCACCACAUUUGUGACUCAUAAUAGAGUUGUGGUUGGAACAUGGCUGCCCGGAUAAUGGCUCCAUUUUCCUGCUCCUUUGCUACCAGGUGUGACUAAGUAGCUAAGUUCUGGCCAAUGGGAUAUGAGCAAAUGAGAAGUGUGUCACUUCUGGAUCCAGGCCUUAAGAAGCUUCUACCAAGUAGAUAAAGGCAAUGCUCUGAGGAAUGGAAUAGAGAUAUGGAACAGAGGAGCCACCCUGACAACCUGGACCACUUAUCCUAAGACUGUUUCAGGAGAGAGAAAUAAACAUUAUGUUUCAGAGGAGUCAGAGAGGAAGAUCUCUUUCUUACAAUAACACUUUACCCUAAUUAAUAUACAUGAUAAAUGAAAACUGAUUAAAAUAAAAGGCAGACUCUCAGAAUGAGUUAAUAAUA